Molecule: non-coding RNA, 631 nt
Organism: Oncorhynchus mykiss (rainbow trout)
Lineage: Eukaryota; Metazoa; Chordata; Actinopteri; Salmoniformes; Salmonidae
Source: RefSeq, a predicted model, not a curated record
AUGUGCGAGAUUUGUUUUUACGUAGCUCGGUGCUCCUCAGACGCUUUGAUCAGAACUGAAUGACUGUCUGCUGCAUUCCAAACACGUAAAAGAGACCCUGAAAUUAAGUAGACAACGGGAUAAUGACCUAUGAGUUGACACUUACAGGGCAAAGGAAGAAAUAAUUCAUUUUAAAUGGACCGCCCUUGCCCAGAAAUGUCACUCAUUCGUCCCAUGGUUGUUUUCAGUUAUCAUGGAACCACCGGUAGCUGUGUGCUUUAUAUGCGCUACAGUCAAUUAUGAUUUCAUAUCUUGGCUAGAAGACGACUCAUCCGCAGACAUCGAAUGCUAUCCAUCUGACGAUAUCAGGCCCCGGAGUGAACAGAGUUGUACACGCAAACUCAGCAGGAGGGCUGAGGGUCUUACGUUGCCAACUUCCCUUGCUUGGCUUCCCCCAAGGGCAUAAGGCGAGGGAGGGGAGUCAAGCUACAUGCAACCAUUUCAGCUACUGGUUGUACCCAAAAUACAUGGAGAAAAAAAAUCUGACCAAUGGGAAACGGAUCAAUCCACUCCACCCGGAACCAUCAAGCGUAGAGGUCCUUGUACAUUUUGGCCAAUUGUUUUCUGAAUAAAAAUUGAAAUUGCUUAUUUU